AGAUGAUAAUGCUGCGGGAAGUAUUCCGCAAGGCCUGGGUCCAAGCUCGGGAACUGAAUAGGACGCAUCCUUUAUGCACCAUUCUGUGUAACUUACGGUUCACUCACGGGCCUGACAGAAUUAUCACAAUAAACUCUAGAAAAGAAGAUAAUUUCAAAAUGGAAGAAACUCAAAGUUGAGAAACUCGAUUUUUUGUCCGUUGCAAGAUACACUGCUGUGGGCGGAACAGUGUUUUCACCUAUACUGUUCUACUGGUAUAGUUGGCUAGAUAAAGUAUACCCAGGGGUUCAACUAAAGACUGUUCUUAAGAAGGUUUUUUUGGAUUCAACUGUCCUCGAGGUUCCUCUUGUUGCAAUGUUUUAUCUUCUCAUCAACUUCCUUUAGGGAAUACCUGCCGACAAGUCUAUGGAGGAACUUAGAUUGAAAAUUAUCCCAACAUUGAUUCUUGGUCUUAUUUUUUGGAUUCCUGUUCAGAUAAUCAAUUUUAGAUUUCUCUCACCACAAGCACGGGUUCCUUUUAUCGCAGUGUGUACCUUUCUUGAGGUUAAUGGUCUUUGUUUCCUAAAGAAGCUUGAUUUACAGUAUUUUAAAUCUUAGUAUUUUUAAUAGUAUUUAUAGGAUAAUUGAUGAUUUUUUUUAAAUUAAGUAUUAUCCAGAGACUCCUGAAGAAAUUUUAUUUGGGAGUGUUUUCUUAUUCUUAUCUUAUUUUAUAUUUCUUAUUUUUAAACUAAAGUAAUCCUAUAGAUAUUGAACCUAAAUAAUUUGUUAUCUCGGCGGAAGUUUUCAAUAUUAGGAAAUAAAUUUUCUGUGGCUUCAAAAUAAAAUUGUAAAAUUAAAUAUAGUCAUUUUUAUUCAGUUAUUUAACCAGACCACCACAACCUCGGAAAAAAUUAUGACAUUUUCUAUAUAUUUAGAAUUCUGUUUCUUUUUAAGGUUU
This is a long non-coding RNA of Eurytemora carolleeae, 937 nucleotides long. RefSeq lists it as uncharacterized. The transcript has 3 exons. NCBI's taxonomy places the organism in Eukaryota, Metazoa, Arthropoda, Copepoda, Calanoida, Temoridae. The record is from RefSeq and is a predicted model, not a curated record.